This 1015-nucleotide long non-coding RNA is filed under the name Geospiza fortis (medium ground-finch). RNAcentral's name for it is "lncRNA (ENSGFOG00000006869.1)". The record is from RNAcentral. Lineage: Eukaryota; Metazoa; Chordata; Aves; Passeriformes; Thraupidae.
CAAGAAAUGAGCUGGGCUUGGCCGUUCUGGAUCAGGGUACAAAGAAAAUUGCUCUAUUUUCAUUGUUUGCAGAUGGGCCAUGCCUGGAAUUCUGAGUUGGAAUCUCCCAUCAAGUCAGAGGACAGUGAUUUCCAGUCCCUUCCUGACUGGGAUUCAAGCUUGGAUCUGGAUGUGAUGAGCUGGAGAAAUACUGAAGAGGAGGCCAUGGGGAGGCUAGAGGGGAGCAGCCAAGAGGCAGACCAGGAGAUGGAGCUGAGUGAGCCUCUCUGGAAGAAUGACAGUGAAGAUAACCACGAGGCAGAGAAGCCAUGUGAAAACGACAGUCUUCUCCAGUUCCUCUUGGAGGUAACCCAGAUGUUGGAAUCUUGCUGCAUUGGCGGCACAGAGUCAUCUCAGACUCCGUGGGAUUAUUGUGGCUCUGUGGGGAAGCAGAGUGAUGGGGAGGAAAUGAGGUGCCAGGAAAAGACCACGGGAACAGCAGGCUCAGGAGCAGAGGAAAGUCAACUGCGCAUCCUGGCAAAAGAUGAGGAAGAACUCUUCCUGGGAAGAGAGGGAGAGACUGAAGACACACCUGGAGAACCCCCUUCAGAUGAGCUGCAUUCACCUGAGAUGAGUGCUCAGGCCCUGGAUCAAGAUGACAGUGACAGCAGCUCUGCAGCCUCAGUGCUGGACUCCACAGGCUCUCCCAACAGGCACCUGUAAGUAGCUGGUUCUGCACUCUUGGAAACGCAGCAGAACAGAGUCACUUCCCUUGUCACACAUGAGAACGAGUGCAUGGCCAGGUCACAUCCAGGAAGGUGAGGUAGCCAAGCAGAGCAGGAGGGAGGGAGGUAACUUGUGCUGUCUCUGGGUUUGCUGGUAUUGUAGGGCAUUGAUCCUAAGGUGAAGUGAGAAGAGUAGAGAUUAAAUAGGAGAUUAAAUGGAAAAUACAUGUUUUGUGAUUUCUCAAGUGAAACAGGCCUUGUGUGAGCUGCACAUCAGGCUCUGUCAGGCAGUGCACAGCCCAGCAUUUCCA